This 622-nucleotide ribosomal RNA is filed under the name uncultured bacterium. RNAcentral describes it as "bacterial SSU rRNA". It matches the Rfam family "Bacterial small subunit ribosomal RNA", at positions 8 to 619 of the family's 1533-position model. The record is from RNAcentral.
AGAGUUUGAUCAUGGCUCAGAUUGAACGCUGGCGGCAUGCCUAACACAUGCAAGUCGAACGGCAGCACGGCAGUAGCAAUACUGUGGGUGGCGAGUGGCGGACGGGUGAGGAAUACGUCGGAAUCUGCCCAGUCGUGGGGGAUAACUAGCCGAAAGGUUAGCUAAUACCGCAUACGACCGAGAGGUGAAAGCGGGGGACCGCAAGGCCUCGCGCGAUUGGAUGAGCCGACGUCGGAUUAGCUAGUUGGUGGGGUAAAGGCCCACCAAGGCGACGAUCCGUAGCUGGUCUGAGAGGAUGAUCAGCCACACUGGAACUGAGACACGGUCCAGACUCCUACGGGAGGCAGCAGUGGGGAAUAUUGGACAAUGGGCGCAAGCCUGAUCCAGCAAUGCCGCGUGUGUGAAGAAGGCCUUCGGGUUGUAAAGCACUUUUAUCAGGAACGAAAAGCGUUGGAUUAAUACUCUGACGUGCUGACGGUACCUGAGGAAUAAGCACCGGCUAACUUCGUGCCAGCAGCCGCGGUAAUACGAAGGGUGCAAGCGUUAAUCGGAAUUACUGGGCGUAAAGCGUGCGUAGAUGGUUCGCUAAGUCGGAUGUGAAAGCCCCGGGCUCAACCUGGGA